UUAAUGUGGCAUGUAAAUGUUGGGUAAUAAACUGAUUUAUUUCAGACAGGCCUGUUCUUGAUUGCCCUUUAUGCUGAACUAGUUCCACUAGCUAAUGAAUAUUUGUUAGCUCGUCGUUCGCCCAAUGGAAUGUCGAAGGCUUGGCUUAUGAAUAUUAUUUUAGGAUGCGUCAAUGGAAGGCUACUGAGCGACGUCAGCAGCGGCUACUGUAAAAUUCAUGAGCGCCGCAGCACAAAUGCACGUCUACUUCCAAAUUAGGAUGAAAACUGUUGUUUUGACAGCAGUUGUGAAAUGUUUUUCUCUCGUCUAGUUAAAGGAACGCCUAUAUGCAAACUUGACUGUGCAGUCUUUAUUCCUUUUUAAAGGCGGAUUUCAAGUGCACAAAAGAAAGAUUUAGUUGCUUCUUAAUUAAACUUCGGAUUACAUCAUUUAGAGUACACUUGAGCAAAUGUUGCGCUCUUUUCGAGGUCACACCUGGGAGAGUUGGGAUUGGGAUCCGGACAGUAAAUCUCCUGAUGCUCAUCUCUCUCUAUGCCGACAAGCGGUAUAUUUUCAUGUCAGCCCUGUGUUGGACAGUCAGGGUACUGCAGGGGUCAGAGGCACCAAAGGUUUCACUCGUGGUGAGCAUUACUGGGAGAUUGAGUUCCUAGAGCCUCCUUAUGGGUGCUCUGUGAUGGUGGGGGUUGGUACCCAAAAUGCACUUCUGCAUAAAGGGGAUCAAAAGUUUGUUAACCUCAUUGGUGAGUACAGUCAUGUUCCUCUUAGGAAUGCUCAUGUUCUUCUCCCAAUUCAGCCCAGCCCAGCCCAGACCUAAACUCCCAUAGGUUGAUCUUACUUGACAACCUAAAAAUGAAUAACAUCAUCUAAUUUUCAAACAGGAAUUUUAAUUAUCAACACCACCU
This is a long non-coding RNA of Cyprinus carpio (common carp), 902 nucleotides long. NCBI's taxonomy places the organism in Eukaryota, Metazoa, Chordata, Actinopteri, Cypriniformes, Cyprinidae. The record is from Ensembl.